GAUGAACGCUGGCGGCGUGCCUAAUACAUGCAAGUCGAGCGAACGGACGAGAAGCUUGCUUCUCUGAUGUUAGCGGCGGACGGGUGAGUAACACGUGGAUAACCUACCUAUAAGACUGGGAUAACUUCGGGAAACCGGAGCUAAUACCGGAUAAUAUUUUGAACCGCAUGGUUCAAAAGUGAAAGACGGUCUUGCUGUCACUUAUAGAUGGAUCCGCGCUGCAUUAGCUAGUUGGUAAGGUAACGGCUUACCAAGGCAACGAUGCAUAGCCGACCUGAGAGGGUGAUCGGCCACACUGGAACUGAGACACGGUCCAGACUCCUACGGGAGGCAGCAGUAGGGAAUCUUCCGCAAUGGGCGAAAGCCUGACGGAGCAACGCCGCGUGAGUGAUGAAGGUCUUCGGAUCGUAAAACUCUGUUAUUAGGGAAGAACAUAUGUGUAAGUAACUGUGCACAUCUUGACGGUACCUAAUCAGAAAGCCACGGCUAACCACGUGCCAGCAGCCGCGGUAAUACGUAGGUGGCAAGCGUUAUCCGGAAUUAUUGGGCGUAAAGCGCGCGUAGGCGGUUUUUUAAGUCUGAUGUGAAAGCCCACGGCUCAACCGUGGAGGGUCAUUGGAAACUGGAAAACUUGAGUGCAGAAGAGGAAAGUGGAAUUCCAUGUGUAGCGGUGAAAUGCGCAGAGAUAUGGAGGAACACCAGUGGCGAAGGCGACUUUCUGGUCUGUAACUGACGCUGAUGUGCGAAAGCGUGGGGAUCAAACAGGAUUAGAUAUCCUGGUAGUCCACGCCGUAAACGAUGAGUGCUAAGUGUUAGGGGGUUUCCGCCCCUUAGUGCUGCAGCUAACGCAUUAAGCACUCCGCCUGGGGAGUACGACCGCAAGGUUGAAACUCAAAGGAAUUGACGGGGACCCGCACAAGCGGUGGAGCAUGUGGUUUAAUUCGAAGCAACGCGAAGAACCUUACCAAAUCUUGACAUCCUUUGACAACUCUAGAGAUAGAGCUUUCCCCUUCGGGGGACAAAGUGACAGGUGGUGCAUGGUUGUCGUCAGCUCGUGUCGUGAGAUGUUGGGUUAAGUCCCGCAACGAGCGCAACCCUUAAGCUUAGUUGCCAUCAUUAAGUUGGGCACUCUAAGUUGACUGCCGGUGACAAACCGGAGGAAGGUGGGGAUGACGUCAAAUCAUCAUGCCCCUUAUGAUUUGGGCUACACACGUGCUACAAUGGACAAUACAAAGGGCAGCGAAACCGCGAGGUCAAGCAAAUCCCAUAAAGUUGUUCUCAGUUCGGAUUGUAGUCUGCAACUCGACUACAUGAAGCUGGAAUCGCUAGUAAUCGUAGGUCAGCAUGCUACGGUGAAUACGUUCCCGGGUCU
Molecule: ribosomal RNA, 1372 nt
Filed under: uncultured bacterium
Lineage: Bacteria
Description: bacterial SSU rRNA
Rfam family: Bacterial small subunit ribosomal RNA
Source: RNAcentral